ACACCUCAACCCUCAUGGCUUGCCACGAUGGGCUUGGACUUUGGGGGUCUUGUUGGCCUGUGAGCCAGCUCCCCUUAAAUGAAUCAGCUUGCCAGUGUUUGGUGGCAUCACAGGUGUGAUAACUAUCUACGCUUGUGGUUUCCCACCAGGUAACCUUCAGCGAUGGAGGUUCGCUGGAGCUCAUAAAUGUCUCUCCCCAGCGAGGACAGAUUUUGACC
RNAcentral lists this unclassified non-coding RNA (218 nucleotides) under uncultured Tomentella. Its description in RNAcentral is "sequence contains ITS2". The record is from RNAcentral. Lineage: Eukaryota; Fungi; Basidiomycota; Agaricomycetes; Thelephorales; Thelephoraceae.